RNAcentral lists this ribosomal RNA (173 nucleotides) under Escherichia coli. RNAcentral describes it as "partial 16S ribosomal RNA". It matches the Rfam family "Bacterial small subunit ribosomal RNA", at positions 1 to 167 of the family's 1533-position model. The record is from RNAcentral. Lineage: Bacteria; Pseudomonadati; Pseudomonadota; Gammaproteobacteria; Enterobacterales; Enterobacteriaceae.
AAAUUGAAGAGUUUGAUCAUGGCUCAGAUUGAACGCUGGCGGCAGGCCUAACACAUGCAAGUCGAACGGUAACAGGAAACAGCUUGCUGUUUCGCUGACGAGUGGCGGACGGGUGAGUAAUGUCUGGGAAACUGCCCGAUGGAGGGGGAUAACUACUGGAAACGGUAGCUAAU